UACAGAGGGCCCAAGCGUUGUUCGGAUUCACUGGGCGUAAAGGGUGCGUAGGCGGUCGGGUAAGUCUGACGUGAAAUCUUCAAGCUCAACUUUGAAACUGCGUCGGAUACUAUUCGGCUAGAGGAAUGGAGGGGAGACUGGAAUACUUGGUGUAGCAGUGAAAUGCGUAGAUAUCAAGUGGAACACCAGUGGCGAAGGCGAGUCUCUGGACAUUUCCUGACGCUGAGGCACGAAAGCCAGGGGAGCAAACGGG
Molecule: ribosomal RNA, 253 nt
Filed under: uncultured bacterium
Lineage: Bacteria
Description: partial 16S ribosomal RNA
Rfam family: Bacterial small subunit ribosomal RNA
Source: RNAcentral